RNAcentral lists this ribosomal RNA (415 nucleotides) under Zymoseptoria tritici. RNAcentral describes it as "LSU rRNA". It matches the Rfam family "Eukaryotic large subunit ribosomal RNA", at positions 40 to 456 of the family's 3401-position model. Lineage: Eukaryota; Fungi; Ascomycota; Dothideomycetes; Mycosphaerellales; Mycosphaerellaceae. The record is from RNAcentral.
AUAUCAAUAAGCGGAGGAAAAGAAACCAACAGGGAUUGCCCUAGUAACGGCGAGUGAAGCGGCAACAGCUCAAAUUUGAAAUCUGGCCCCCCGGCCCGAGUUGUAAUUUGUAGAGGAUGCUUCUGGGUAGCGACCGGUCUAAGUUCCUUGGAACAGGACGUCAUAGAGGGUGAGAAUCCCGUAUGCGACCGGCCCGCGCCCUCCACGUAGCUCCUUCGACGAGUCGAGUUGUUUGGGAAUGCAGCUCUAAAUGGGAGGUAAAUUUCUUCUAAAGCUAAAUACCGGCCAGAGACCGAUAGCGCACAAGUAGAGUGAUCGAAAGAUGAAAAGCACUUUGGAAAGAGAGUUAAAAAGCACGUGAAAUUGUUGAAAGGGAAGCGCUUACAACCAGACUUUGGGGCGGUGUUCCGCCGGU